GUCGUAACAAGGUUUCCGUAGGUGAACCUGCGGAAGGAUCAUUAUUGAAUGAACUUGGUGUGGUUGUUGCUGGCUCUUUCGAGGGCAUGUGCACGCCCACCAUCCUCAUCUCUCCACCUGUGCACCUCUUGUAGACUUGGAUUGACUUUCCGAGGCAACUCGGUCGGGAGGAUUGCCGGCGCCAGCUGGCUUUCUUUGCAUUUCCAGGUCUACGUUUUUCAUAUACCCCAUUGUAUGUAACAGAAUGUAACAUUGGGCACUUGUGCCUAUAAACUUUAUACAACUUUCAGCAACGGAUCUCUUGGCUCUCGCAUCGAUGAAGAACGCAGCGAAAUGCGAUAAGUAAUGUGAAUUGCAGAAUUCAGUGAAUCAUCGAAUCUUUGAACGCACCUUGCGCUCCUUGGUAUUCCGAGGAGCAUGCCUGUUUGAGUGUCAUUAAAUUCUCAACCUUUAUCAACUUUUGUUGAUAAUGGCUUGGAUAUGGGGGUUUAUUUUGCUGGCUUCUUUACAGAUGGUCAGCUCCCCUUAAAUGCAUUAGCCGGUGCCCCGCGUGGACUGUCUAUUGGUGUGAUAAUUAUCUACGCCGAGGGACAUCUGCAAUCAUAUGGGUUUGCACUGCUUCCAACUGUACUGUUGAAUCAGACAAUACAUGACAAUUUGACCUCAAUUCAGGUAGGACUACCCGCUGACUU
RNAcentral lists this ribosomal RNA (692 nucleotides) under Hebeloma stenocystis. RNAcentral's name for it is "eukaryotic LSU rRNA". The stretch from base 282 to 435 matches the Rfam family "5.8S ribosomal RNA". The record is from RNAcentral. Lineage: Eukaryota; Fungi; Basidiomycota; Agaricomycetes; Agaricales; Hymenogastraceae.